RNAcentral lists this ribosomal RNA (268 nucleotides) under uncultured Planctomycetales bacterium. RNAcentral describes it as "partial 16S ribosomal RNA". It matches the Rfam family "Bacterial small subunit ribosomal RNA", at positions 565 to 832 of the family's 1533-position model. Lineage: Bacteria; Pseudomonadati; Planctomycetota; Planctomycetia; Planctomycetales. The record is from RNAcentral.
GAGCACGUAGGUGGGUUUGUAAGUCAGAUGUGAAAGCCUUCUGUUCAACGGAAGAAUUGCAUCUGAAACUGCGAGUCUUGAGUGUAGGAGGGGAGAAUGGAACUUCUGGUGGAGCGGUGAAAUGCGUAGAUAUCAGAAGGAACGCCGGCGGCGAAGCGAUUCUCUGGCCUAUUACUGACACUCAGUGUGCGAAAGCUAGGGGAGCAAACGGGAUUAGAUACCCCGGUAGUCCUAGCCGUAAACGAUGGGCACUAAGUAGAGGGGUUUU